GUAGCUGGCGGCACGCCUAACACAUGCAAGUCGAACGAAGUAGCAAUACUUAGUGGCAGACGGGUGAGUAACAUGUAGGUAUCUACCCUUUGGCCUGGAAUAACACGAGGAAACUUGUGCUAAUACCGGAUAAGUCUUUACGGAGAAAGCUUUAUGCACCAUUGGAUGAGCCUGCACUUGAUUAGUUUGUUGGUGGGGUAAUGGCCUACCAAGACUGUGAUCAAUAGCUGAUUUGAGAGGAUGAUCAGCCACAUUGGGACUGAGACACGGCCCAAACUCCUACGGGAGGCAGCAGUGGGGAAUCUUGCACAAUGGAGGAAACUCUGAUGCAGCGAUGCCGCGUGAGUGAAGAAGGCCUUUGGGUUGUAAAGCUCUUUCGUCGGGGAAGAAAAUGACUGUACCCGAAUAAGAAGGUCCGGCUAACUUCGUGCCAGCAGCCGCGGUAAUACGAAGGGACCUAGCGUAGUUCGGAAUUACUGGGCUUAAAGAGUUCGUAGGUGGUUGAAAAAG
Molecule: ribosomal RNA, 510 nt
Filed under: uncultured bacterium
Lineage: Bacteria
Description: bacterial SSU rRNA
Rfam family: Bacterial small subunit ribosomal RNA
Source: RNAcentral